UGGGGAAUCUUGCGCAAUGGGCGAAAGCCUGACGCAGCCAUGCCGCGUGGAUGAUGAAGGUCUUAGGAUUGUAAAAUCCUUUCAGCGGGGACGAUAAUGACGGUACCCGCAGAAGAAGCCCCGGCUAACUUCGUGCCAGCAGCCGCGGUAAUACGAAGGGGGCUAGCGUUGCUCGGAAUUACUGGGCGUAAAGGGAGCGUAGGCGGAUCGUUUAGUCAGGGGUGAAAUCCCGGGGCUCAACCUCGGAACUGCCUUUGAUACUGGCGAUCUUGAGUAUGGGAGAGGUGUGUGGAACUCCGAGUGUAGAGGUGAAAUUCGUAGAUAUUCGGAAGAACACCAGUGGCGAAGGCGACACACUGGCCCAUUACUGACGCUGAGGCUCGAAAGCGUGGGGAGCAAACAGG
Molecule: ribosomal RNA, 404 nt
Filed under: Actinomycetes bacterium
Lineage: Bacteria; Bacillati; Actinomycetota; Actinomycetes
Description: Actinobacteria bacterium partial 16S ribosomal RNA
Rfam family: Bacterial small subunit ribosomal RNA
Source: RNAcentral